RNAcentral lists this ribosomal RNA (468 nucleotides) under uncultured bacterium. RNAcentral's name for it is "partial 16S ribosomal RNA". It matches the Rfam family "Bacterial small subunit ribosomal RNA", at positions 28 to 507 of the family's 1533-position model. The record is from RNAcentral.
GACGAACGCUGGCGGCGUGCUUAACACAUGCGAGUCGAACGGAAAGGCCCUGCUUUUGUGGGGUGCUCGAGUGGCGAACGGGUGAGUAACACGUGAGUAACCUGCCCUUGACUUUGGGAUAACUUCAGGAAACUGGGGCUAAUACCGGAUAGGAGCUCCUGCUGCAUGGUGGGGGUUGGAAAGUUUCGGCGGUUGGGGAUGGACUCGCGGCUUAUCAGCUUGUUGGUGGGGUAGUGGCUUACCAAGGCUUUGACGGGUAGCCGGCCUGAGAGGGUGACCGGCCACAUUGGGACUGAGAUACGGCCCAGACUCCUACGGGAGGCAGCAGUGGGGAAUAUUGCACAAUGGGCGGAAGCCUGAUGCAGCAACGCCGCGUGCGGGAUGACGGCCUUCGGGUUGUAAACCGCUUUCGCCUGUGACGAAACGUGAGUGACGGUAAUGGGUAAAGAAGCACCGGCUAACUACGUG